RNAcentral lists this long non-coding RNA (1048 nucleotides) under Bos taurus (domestic cattle). Its description in RNAcentral is "long non-coding RNA NONBTAT017083". Lineage: Eukaryota; Metazoa; Chordata; Mammalia; Artiodactyla; Bovidae. The record is from RNAcentral.
UUAGGGCAAUUAGGUGGAUUUCCAAAUUACCAUGCAGAUGAAAAAGAGGGCAAGAAAAAAAGUUUCUAGGGUAAUUCAAUCAGGGAAGCUGUUACAUCACAUACUAUUGAUAAUUUAUAGGAAACUGGGCUGUCUUUUCAAAGUCCACGAGAAGCACAGAAAAUCUUCAGCAAUACGAACUGUAUUUUUUCAAAAGCUGUAAAAAUAGCCAUGCCUACACCUUUUGUACGGCUUCAAUGAAAAUUACAGACACAAUUCUCCAAUGUUCUAAGGACUAAAACCAUCGCAACAUCACAUGACUGAACUUGCUGUUUGUCUUUCUGUUGAGCAGGCUUAUUUUCUUGGUCAAAAUGUUACUACAAUGCUACACACCAAAUAGAAAACAGGCUUAGCUACCAAAACAAAAUAAACCCUAACUGUGUUUUUAAGUGUUUCGUUUCCAUGGCCUUACAAUCUUUGCACAAAAUACAAUCCUUGGAGACUUAAUUCCUAUACACAGUUUUGCCAUCACUGGUGGUGUUUUAACAACUGUUUCCCCCAAAUAAAGCUCCUAUUUAAUUCUAACCCAGUAUUUGCCAAACUACACAAAACCAUUACCCCAUCCCACCCCCGCUCAAAGGUUCAGAAUGCCUAUUUUCAUAGUUCAUCUAUUUGAAAUAAGCCCAUUUCAAAUUCCUGUUUGAUAAAUCACUCGCUUUUCUGCUUACAAAACAAUUACCCACAGUCUUUCAAUAAGUUUAAGAUAAGCAUGGGAAGGCGGGGAGGGGGGGAACCCUUUGGAAAAUGAGUACGUACUCUUUUCGAAGUUCCAAAUGUGGAAUAUAAGGGCCGGCUAAGCGUCCUUUAUUCCGCCCCGGAGACUUUUCGUUUAUCUAGCUGCUCUAGAGACCGGAGAGCUAGGGAGAGUACGCCACUUCCUAGCCUGGCAGCCAAGCUUGGCUUAAAAACCUUCGCCACCGGGCGGCGGAAUUACAAAGGAGGCCGUCUGCCUCCUUUGUCCUGGAUUUAGGAGUUGAGCGCCUUCGUCGCCAUUGGCUUUCCUCCCCCA